AAGUCGUAACAAGGUUUCCGUAGGUGAACCUGCGGAAGGAUCAUUAUCGUAAACAAAAAGGCCUUGGGUUGUCGCUGGUCCUCCGGGACAUGUGCACGCCCUCGGUCGUUACAUCCUUCAUACCCCUGUGCACCUCUGCGUGUGGUUCUCUCCCUCCUCUUCGGCGGGGGGUUUGGGCCCGCGUCUCCUUAUAAACACCCCUUGUAUGUUCUUAUGAAUGUCUACUAUGCGAUAAAAAGCAUCUAAUACAACUUUCAACAACGGAUCUCUUGGCUCUC
RNAcentral lists this unclassified non-coding RNA (278 nucleotides) under Lentinellus castoreus. RNAcentral's name for it is "partial internal transcribed spacer region". The stretch from base 1 to 46 matches the Rfam family "Eukaryotic small subunit ribosomal RNA", at positions 1786 to 1831 of the family's 1831-position model. Lineage: Eukaryota; Fungi; Basidiomycota; Agaricomycetes; Russulales; Auriscalpiaceae. The record is from RNAcentral.